GUCCACGCCAUAAACGAUGAGCACUAGGUGUCGCGGGUAUUGACCCCUGCGGUGCCGUAGCUAACGCAUUAAGUGCUCCGCCUGGGGAAUACGGCCGCAAGGUUAAAACUCAAAGGAAUUGACGGGGGCCCGCACAAGCGGUGGAGCAUGUGGUUCAAUUCGACGCAACGCGCAGAACCUUACCUGGGCUAGACAACGGUAGACACCCCCAGAGAUGGGGUCUUCCCUUCGGGGACUGCCGGUUCAGGUGCUGCAUGGCUGUCGU
This 265-nucleotide ribosomal RNA is filed under the name uncultured bacterium. Its description in RNAcentral is "partial 16S ribosomal RNA". It matches the Rfam family "Bacterial small subunit ribosomal RNA", at positions 793 to 1055 of the family's 1533-position model. The record is from RNAcentral.